Molecule: long non-coding RNA, 542 nt
Organism: Odocoileus virginianus texanus
Lineage: Eukaryota; Metazoa; Chordata; Mammalia; Artiodactyla; Cervidae
Source: RefSeq, a predicted model, not a curated record
CUGGUGUUUGGGGAAUUAGGCAAUGAGCAGUAAGUCUGACAAAAGAAAGAAGCCACAAGAUCUUUUACAAAGGCUAAUUGUACUUCCCCAGCAUUACUAACUCUCAAAUGUGACAUCCUCCUCACACAAGAGUGGAAUUGUGCGGAGAUAUAUAUUGACUUAAAAUUGUUUGCAAAAAAAUAUAAUUUUCUGCAGCUAUACAGGGAGAUACUAGAAUGCUCUCCCAGGAGUCAUAAAUUGAGUCUGAGAAAGCCAAUUCUUUAUAUUGCUUACAUGAAAUAUGUAUUUGGUCAGUUAAAAUAAGGCAGAAUGGAGGAAACUCAUUGACUGACAGCAUUUAUCCAAAGAUGAAACAUCAAAAUAGUGACAAAUGGUGGUAAGCAUGAUUCUUCAGUUUUAGAUGCUCAUCAUUUUAACAACAUCCAGAUGAAGAAAUACAUAGGCUAUCAUCUCAAACAAAGAUGAUCAUGGAGUUUGGCAACCUGCACAAUGCAUACAGAAAUUUUCUUUUUCUCCAACCUAGAAUGUCUAAGCAUACAUGU